Molecule: small nuclear RNA, 116 nt
Filed under: Saitoella complicata NRRL Y-17804
Lineage: Eukaryota; Fungi; Ascomycota; Saitoellomycetes; Saitoellales; Saitoellaceae
Description: U5 spliceosomal RNA
Rfam family: U5 spliceosomal RNA
About the family: U5 RNA is a component of both types of known spliceosome.
Source: Rfam by way of RNAcentral
CGCUGCGCAAGUGUCUUUCAUGAACCUCGCUCUUGCCUUUUACCAGAACGAGCAGGAAAUGCGCUUGAUAACACGCAGUUUACCCACUCUUUGGAACAUCUCACCCAUACCGGUGU